This 299-nucleotide signal recognition particle RNA is filed under the name Cebus imitator (Panamanian white-faced capuchin). RNAcentral describes it as "Metazoan signal recognition particle RNA (ENSCCAG00000014113.1)". It matches the Rfam family "Metazoan signal recognition particle RNA". Rfam says of the family: The signal recognition particle (SRP) is a universally conserved ribonucleoprotein. It is involved in the co-translational targeting of proteins to membranes. The eukaryotic SRP consists of a 300-nucleotide 7S RNA and six proteins: SRPs 72, 68, 54, 19, 14, and 9. Lineage: Eukaryota; Metazoa; Chordata; Mammalia; Primates; Cebidae. The record is from RNAcentral.
GCCAGGCGCGGUGGUGCGUGCUUGUAGUCCCAGCUAGUCAGGAGGCUGAGGUGGAAGGAUCGCUUGAGCCCAGGAGUUCUGGGCUGUAGUGCGCUAUGCCGAUGGGGUGUCCACACUAAGUUCGGCAUCAAUAUGGUGACCUCCUGGGGACGGGGGACCACCAGGUUGCCUAAGGAAGGGUGAACUGGCCCAGGUCAGAAACGGAGCAGGUCAAAAUUCCCAUGCUGAUCAGUAGUGGGAUGGCGCCUGUGAACAGCCACUGCACUCCAGCCUGGGCAACAUAGCGAGACCCCGUCUCU